This 532-nucleotide ribosomal RNA is filed under the name Streptosporangium sp. 310G05. RNAcentral's name for it is "bacterial SSU rRNA". It matches the Rfam family "Bacterial small subunit ribosomal RNA", at positions 93 to 642 of the family's 1533-position model. Lineage: Bacteria; Bacillati; Actinomycetota; Actinomycetes; Streptosporangiales; Streptosporangiaceae. The record is from RNAcentral.
GAGCGGCGAACGGGUGAGUAACACGUGAGUAACCUGCCCCNGACUCUGGGAUAAGCCCGGGAAACUGGGUCUAAUACCGGAUAUGACACCUCCUCGCAUGGGGUGGGUGUGGAAAGUCUUUUCGGUUGGGGAUGGACUCGCGGCCUAUCAGCUUGUUGGUGGGGUAAUGGCCUACCAAGGCGACGACGGGUAGCCGGCCUGAGAGGGCGACCGGCCACACUGGGACUGAGACACGGCCCAGACUCCUACGGGAGGCAGCAGUGGGGAAUAUUGCGCAAUGGGCGAAAGCCUGACGCAGCGACGCCGCGUGGGGGAUGACGGCCUUCGGGUUGUAAACCUCUUUCAGCAGGGACGAAGUUGACGUGUACCUGCAGAAGAAGCGCCGGCUAACUACGUGCCAGCAGCCGCGGUAAUACGUAGGGCGCAAGCGUUGUCCGGAAUUAUUGGGCGUAAAGAGCUCGUAGGUGGCUUGUCACGUCGGGUGUGAAAGCUUGGGGCUUAACUCCAGGUCUGCAUUCGAUACGGGCUGGCU